This 30-nucleotide non-coding RNA is filed under the name Mus musculus (house mouse). The record is from RNAcentral. Lineage: Eukaryota; Metazoa; Chordata; Mammalia; Rodentia; Muridae.
UGGUUGUUUUUGAGAAGCCUACACUAGCCC